RNAcentral lists this ribosomal RNA (217 nucleotides) under uncultured bacterium. RNAcentral describes it as "partial 16S ribosomal RNA". It matches the Rfam family "Bacterial small subunit ribosomal RNA", at positions 524 to 739 of the family's 1533-position model. The record is from RNAcentral.
UACGUAGGGUGCGAGCGUUAAUCGGAAUUACUGGGCGUAAAGCGUGCGCAGGCGGUUUUGUAAGCCAGAUGUGAAAUCCCCGGGCUUAACCUGGGAAUGGCAUUUGGGACUGCAAGGCUGGAGUACGGCAGAGGGGACUGGAAUUCCUGGUGUAGCAGUGAAAUGCGUAGAGAUCGAGGAGGAAUACCGAUGGCGAAGGCAGGUCUCUGGGCUGAUA